UACGUAGGGUGCGAGCGUUAAUCGGAAUUACUGGGCGUAAAGGGUGCGUAGGCGGGCAGGUAAGUCCGUGGUGAAAUCUCUGAGCUUAACUCAGAAACUGCCAUGGAUACUAUUUGUCUUGAAUAUUGUGGAGGUAAGCGGAAUAUGUCAUGUAGCGGUGAAAUGCUUAGAUAUGACAUAGAACACCAAUUGCGAAGGCAGCUUACUACACAGUUAUUGACGCUGAGGCACGAAAGCGUGGGGAUCAAACAGG
RNAcentral lists this ribosomal RNA (253 nucleotides) under uncultured bacterium. RNAcentral's name for it is "partial 16S ribosomal RNA". It matches the Rfam family "Bacterial small subunit ribosomal RNA", at positions 524 to 776 of the family's 1533-position model. The record is from RNAcentral.